GAGGCGUGAAAGAAAAAUUCGUUAAAAUCACUGAAUGGGUACACGAAAAAGAAAACCUGAUGGUUGUGAUGAAGCAGGGUUCUUCAGUUUUUAUUUUAAAAAUAAUAAAACAAGUAAUACAAUGUACGAAAGAAAAAGGAAACAACGAUGAACAAGGUCUCUUCUGAAAAUUAUUAGGUAUGAAGAAUAAAAAAAAGAAAAAGAAACCAAAGGUUGGAAGAGAGAAAAUAAAGAAAAGGAAAAAAGAAAAUC
Molecule: non-coding RNA, 252 nt
Organism: Schizosaccharomyces pombe (fission yeast)
Lineage: Eukaryota; Fungi; Ascomycota; Schizosaccharomycetes; Schizosaccharomycetales; Schizosaccharomycetaceae
Source: the annotation of a GenBank genome assembly